RNAcentral lists this transfer RNA (74 nucleotides) under Candidatus Moraniibacteriota bacterium. RNAcentral's name for it is "tRNA-Val". It matches the Rfam family "tRNA". Rfam says of the family: Transfer RNA (tRNA) molecules are approximately 80 nucleotides in length. Lineage: Bacteria; Candidatus Moraniibacteriota. The record is from RNAcentral.
GCGUGCUUAGCUCAGUUGGUUAGAGCAUCUCGUUUACACCGAGAGGGUCGGGGGUUCGAGUCCCUCAGCACGCA